RNAcentral lists this ribosomal RNA (301 nucleotides) under uncultured bacterium. Its description in RNAcentral is "partial 16S ribosomal RNA". It matches the Rfam family "Bacterial small subunit ribosomal RNA", at positions 509 to 807 of the family's 1533-position model. The record is from RNAcentral.
CAGUAGCCACGGGAAUACGAAGGGGGCUAGCGUUGUUCGGAUUAACUGAGCGUAAAGGGCGCGUAGGCGGGUUUUUAAGUCAGAGGUGAAAUCCCAAGGCUCAACCUUGGAACUGCCUUUGAUACUGGAAGUCUUGAGUCCGGGAGAGGUGAGUGGAACUGCGAGUGUAGAGGUGAAAUUCGUAGAUAUUCGCAAGAACACCAGUGGCGAAGGCGGCUCACUGGCCCGGUACUGACGCUGAGGCGCGAAAGCGUGGGGAGCAAACAGGAUUAGAUACCCCUGUAGUCCCUGUCUCUUAUAC